AGGUUUGUGACUGAGUGGCGGACGGGUGAGUAACGCGUGGGUAACCUGCCCAUGUGCCCGGGAUAACUUCUGGAAACGGAUGCUAAAACCGGAUAGGUAGCAGACAAGCAUUUGACUGCUAUUAAAGUGGCUAAGGCCAUGAACAUGGAUGGACCUGCGGUGCAUUAGCUAGUUGGUGAGGUAACGGCCCACCAAGGCGACGAUGCAUAGCCGACCUGAGAGGGUGAUCGGCCACACUGGGACUGAGACACGGCCCAGACUCC
Molecule: ribosomal RNA, 263 nt
Filed under: uncultured Bacillota bacterium
Lineage: Bacteria; Bacillati; Bacillota
Description: uncultured Firmicutes bacterium partial 16S ribosomal RNA
Rfam family: Bacterial small subunit ribosomal RNA
Source: RNAcentral